This is a long non-coding RNA of Herpailurus yagouaroundi (jaguarundi), 1329 nucleotides long. RefSeq lists it as uncharacterized. The transcript has 2 exons. NCBI's taxonomy places the organism in Eukaryota, Metazoa, Chordata, Mammalia, Carnivora, Felidae. The record is from RefSeq and is a predicted model, not a curated record.
CAACGUCCCUAGUUCUUUGCGCACUGGCCUGUCCAGGUUUAAUAUUUGCCUUCGUCUCCUCUUCCACCUUAGAACACUACCCUGACCUUGGAGCUGACUAAGACAUCUUGUUUUUUCCUCUUCCUGGAAGGCCCAGCCCCCCAGAGGCCUUCCACAGGGCAGUCCGGCAAGGGGAUGCAGCGGAGGAGGCCUGCUGGCCGUCCAACCAUACUUCAAACCCCGUGGCUACAAUUGGCAGCCUGAGAGGGAAGGACCCCACCCAGCCCAGGAGCUUGGAACGAAUCCUUUGUUUCUCUGGGGUGGUGCUUGUCAGCAGCCGGGGGUCCCUCUCGGGGCCUGUAGCUAAGCCUGGUCUGGUGAACUCCACUCAAUCCGGCCCUGGAGCCUCCCCCAUCCACAAACGAGCCCCUCAGGACAACCUGCCUAAACCAAGAUCGUCAUUUGUCACUUCCCCCGCCCUGACGGCCUCUUCCCAGAUUGCGACACCCAGGAGCGGCACUGUCCUUUCAGCUGGCCAAGCCAGAAACCCGGAGCUCGCAGCCCUCCUUAUGAGCCCACCCGGAUACCUGGCACCCCAGACCUCUCUGCCACCCUUCCAGGGCCUACACGGACGGCCCGCGUCCAUCCUCCCGAGGGUGGACGGUCCCGUUGGCGGGUGUGUGCACUUCCAAGCCUAAGAGAAGGAAUCGAGUUAAGAUGAGGUCGUGUUCGCUUAGGAUGAGGCCUAAUCCAAUGUGACUGGUGUCCUUAUAAGAAGAAAGAAGACGCAGAAACGCACGCAGGAAGAAUGCCAUGUGACUGGAGGCAGACGUUAGAGCAAUACGUUGACAAGCCGUGGAGCUCCAAGGAUUGCCAGCAGCAACAGAGGCUAAGAGAAAGGCAAGGAAGAAGGCUCUCCUAGAGCCUUCAGAGAGGGCACGGCCCUGUGGACAUGUUGACCUCAGAUUUCUGGCCUCUGGGAUUGUGACAGAAUGAACUUUCAUUGUUGUCAGGCACCUGGUUUUUGGCAAUUUGUUACAGCAGCUUUUGGAGUUGUCUUACUUGAGUAUUAGAAAGGGCUGAAUGUCUUCUCUUUUUUUUUUUAUGAUUUUUUUUUUUAAAGUAAUCUCGACAUGCAACGUGGGGCUCGAACUCAUGACCCUGAGAUUAAGAGUCAUAUGCUCCACUGACUAAGCCAGCCAGAUGCCCCCAGGUUUUUAAAGGAGGAGAAAGAGAAGGAGCGGGAGGAGAAGGAGGAAAGGCUGAAGCUUGAAGUGAAUCUGCUAAGGGCUCAGCCCAGAUGUGCAGGGAGUAUUUGUUGAAGGAAUAAAUAUGUCUCCGUCAUACAAA